Long non-coding RNA from Canis lupus familiaris (dog), 3210 nucleotides. RefSeq lists it as uncharacterized. The transcript has 2 exons. The record is from RefSeq and is a predicted model, not a curated record. Lineage: Eukaryota; Metazoa; Chordata; Mammalia; Carnivora; Canidae.
CUCUUCCUCUGCCUCCUGACUGACUCUGGUGCUCCCUGUAUAGCUCCCCAGGUUGCAGCUGCCCUUGCCUCUUGGGAACUGUCUGAAGGAAAAACAAGGAAAAAGCUUAUCACCUGAGAAAUCCCUCUACAGCCAGUGAGUCACCAUUCUCUAUACUACUUCAUGAGACUCACCCACAUUCAUUCUGAACCUUCACGCUUUAAAAAAACCAGGUAAGCAGAUUUUUCACAACUGAGGAAACCCGUAUGAAAACAAUGCAAAUAAAGGAGUCAAGCAGUUGCUUCUGUCUGCCCUGAAGCAAGACUUUCACUUUAGAGAUUCUCACAGGGAGCCUUGGUGCCCAAUCUUCCCAACCAGGGGAGGCUCGUGCCCCUUCAAAGCAGAAGAUUCAUGUUGAAGAACUGCUGUCUUUGAACCUCCCAUAAAAUCCAGGUGCUGUGAAACGUGGCACCUGUGUGCUGGCUGUAGCAAAUCCACCCAUGGUGUGGCUGGUGGUCUUCAGAGGUGGCCACCCACAAGUCCUCCCACCUGGAGCCCUCCUGUUGAUGGAGUCUAACUGCCACCCCCACAGUCUGGGCUAGUCUUGUGAUGUGCCCUGAGCAGAACCCAGCAGAAGACAUGCUCUGAUACUUCUGAGACUGGAAAAGAAGACUGGAAGCUUUGCCACCAACUGGUAAGGAAGUGUAGGCUAGACGGCUGAGUGAUUAGAGGCCACAUGGAGAGGCCAUGGAGGAUGUGAGGCCAACUUGGACACAGAAGGCAGCCACAUGACAUCCCAUGUGAGACCAGCAGACACCCACCCAGCUGAGCUCUAGCCAACUCUCAGAACUGUGUGAAAUAAAGCAGCAGGGAUUGAAAUAUCCAUUUCUGGACUACCUCUUCAAGGCAGGGAAGAGACGCAAUAGUUUCACGCAAGUUUUUUAUGUGGUGUCAAGAGCCUCCAACUUACUUCAUCAUCUUCAUCUUCAUCAUCGUCAGACUCAAGAACACCAUCCAGUAGCUCUUCUAUAAAGAAAAAAAUAAAUGAAUAACUGAGAAUACAGCAGGGAACCUUGGCCAACAAAAUCCUUCAGCUGCUGCAGAGACAUGUGAACAGGCUAAUGAGGAUUAGGUGGCACCAGAACAUUCAGGUUUCUGGUGCCCAUGCAGCCACAGACUGAGAUCAUCCUAAGCAGUUUAAACCUCUUUCCCUGUUUUUACCAGAAUGCAGUGUUAGUGGCAUGGGAAAAGUUAAAAGUCACCAUACAAUUUGAGAGGAAUUUUUUUUUAAUUUUUAUUUAUUUAUGAUAGUCACACAGAGAGAGAGAAAGAGAGGCAGAGACACAGGCAGAGGGAGAAGCAGGCUCCAUGCACUGGGAGCCCGACGUGGGAUUCGAUCCCGGGUCUCCAGGAUCGUGCCCUGGGCCAAAGACAGGCGCUAAACCACUGCGCCACCCAGGGAUCCCCAAUUUGAGAGGAAUUUAGAGGAAAGAAAGUAAGUGAGUAUUGCUAGGCACCAUGAUGAAUACUGUCCCACAUGUUAUUUAUUUAUUCCUUACCACGAUUUUGUUGACUCUUAUCCCCAUUCUAUAGCAAAUAGCAAAUGGAGGCAUAAGGGACUUGUUUAUGGUCGCACUCCCAUAAGUGACAGAGUUGAGAUUCAACUCAAGUCUAUUUCUAAAUCUCAUGAUUUUUCCACGGAGACUGAGGUAGGGGCCAUGGCAGGUUGGGUUCCUGAAGGCUCCUGUGGUGCACCAUUAGAUUGUAAAAGAGUUCAUAAAGGAGGGAUAAUAGCAAAAUGGAAUCAGAGAAAGAAUGAGCCUCUGUUUCUUCAUCAGUGAAAGGGGUAUCAGAGCAUCUACUUCCUAGGGUGGUUGAGGGGAUUUUUACAACACACCAAAACUAAACCACCUGGCCCAGGGCCAGGGACAUAGCAGGUUUGUUUACUUUCUCCUCUAUGAAGCCUUCCCUGAUCCCUUACUGAACAGUUACCUCUCUCUCCACUGAACAUACUCAGCAUUUUCUCUAGUUAGCACUGUACUAGAGUAGUACUAGACAGCACUGUAGUAAAUAAUAGUACUAGACAGGCACUACGGUAGAUAGUAGUACUAGAUAGUACUAUAGACAGAGGUACUAGAUAGCACUGUAGUAAAUAGAAACCCCAGGACACCCAUCAUCCUUGACACGACCGUCAUUUUAAAGGAAAGGACUCCAUUGACUUGGCUGGAUCAAGGCCAGUAGGACACCACCAUCUGGCCCCACCUCAGAGGGGCCUGCACGCUUCCGUGCAUAUCAUGGCCCCACUGCUGUCAAGAAAACUACACUGCAGGCAGGGGGAAAUGAUGUCAUCCUGCAUUUGAGCUGAAGCUCCGUUACCUGGCUUCUAUCACUUCCUGGCACACGAGAAGCACUACUCCAUGCCACCUGCAGCAAAUGCCUAUCAAACAAGUGGCUUUCAGAAUGAGGUAGCUGCUAUAUUCAUCAAUUACAAGCAUUUCUUUUUCAAAUAUGGAAUGCCCUCUCUCACUUUUUAAAAAAAAAUCUUAUAUGUUUUGUGAGGCCCUAGGCUGGUCCAGCCACAUCCUUUCCCCCGAGCCCACUGGCUUGGAUUCAUCCUCUUCCCCGAACAAUCCAGUCCUGUGAACUGACGUACCUUAUAAAUCUCAGCUCCAAACAAAAACAAAAACAAAAACCAAACCCCAAAACAAACCAAAACAAAAAAACCUCAGCUUCUCCUCUAGAGCAUGAUGGGGCCAUCAGCCCUGUUUCCCAUAGAUCCCUGGGUUGCAGCACAACCAGCCACCCUCACUCCAGUAUCUGACAGCACCUAGUGCUGGAGCUGCCAGUACCCUUCCUUCCCUGAGGACCCAGCUGGUGAAGCUGGCUCUGCCCUGCUCCUAUCCUCUCUUCAGUGCCUGGCUAGGAUCUGCUGGGCCCCCCUCGCUGGGGGCCACCAUCAUGGAUAUACCUCCCUAUUGUUGCCGGUCGUCUCUGCUCGUCAUGUCACCAGUUUUCCCUUAAGUUUCCCGGAGUAGUUCUUCCCCACCUGUGGGGUUAGGUUCCCAAAAUACUAGAAUUUUUCCAUUUGGAGACCUUAAAACUUUAUAAGAAAAAUAGUGCUAGAGAACUGAUAUGUUUGAAUGUAUGGAAACCCAUAUACAUGUUUUAAGUGUAUACUAAAACAAGAAAGUCAAUCAAUAAAGACUGGCAAUGUCAUUUUUGUCUCUUAAA